Transfer RNA from Felis catus (domestic cat), 74 nucleotides. It matches the Rfam family "tRNA". Rfam says of the family: Transfer RNA (tRNA) molecules are approximately 80 nucleotides in length. Their secondary structure includes four short double-helical elements and three loops (D, anti-codon, and T loops). Lineage: Eukaryota; Metazoa; Chordata; Mammalia; Carnivora; Felidae. The record is from Rfam.
ACCUGGCUGGCUCAGUCAGUAGAGCAUGUGACUCUUGAUCUUGGGGGUCAUGAGUUCAAGCCCCAUGUUGGGGA